Molecule: long non-coding RNA, 2625 nt
Organism: Wyeomyia smithii (pitcher-plant mosquito)
Lineage: Eukaryota; Metazoa; Arthropoda; Insecta; Diptera; Culicidae
Exons: 5
Source: RefSeq, a predicted model, not a curated record
AGUUGUUGUUUCUGUUGUUUUGCGAAAUUUGCAUCGUUGAGUCUAGAUAGUUCAAAAAGAUUUUCGAAAAAUUUAGUUUGUGCAUUUUCAAAAAAAGUGAACACAACAAUAAAAUGGGUCGGAGGCCGCGUCAUUACUGCUUAAUGCAGCAUUGGCGCGAUACAAUAAACAAAAAAAUACACAAAAAAGGCAAAAAUGUCGUACGGAAAGAAAGCUUCCGGUAGCCGAUUUCUAACAACAGAUACGAAUGAAAUUGAUACAACACAUAUACUAAAAGUACAAGGUAACGACCCGCGAAUUGAAAACUGCUCCCUUGAUACAAUUGACAGCAUGGAAAUAACUGAUAAUGACGAAAAUGACAAUUCCUUCGAUAGUCCUGGAGAUGAAAAUGCAUCUUCCAUUAAUUUAGAAGUUGAUCAGUCCUCAGUUGAACUUGAAAUGGUUGGGUACUGUUGACAGAGAAAAUUGUGACAAAUCUUAGUGUUCCAUGGACGAGGCUAGAAGAUACACACCACAUAUUGUUACCAAAAAUUUAUUGUUUGGAAUUUGCUCCAAUCAUCUACAACAGGCUAUUUUUAAACUGCAUUAGAGAUGUAGUGUGCCUUUUAAUGUAUUAUUACUUGGCAUAACAGAUGACAACGUAUAUUGCAUGCUGUUGAAUGAAUGGAGAUAAUAACCUUCAUUAGUUUUUAAAUCUAAGUCGUUUUCAAUAUUACAGGAAAAUGAACACAGUUUUGUAGAAUUUGCCAACAAAUUGCAUCCAAACGAUAUUUUCUUCAUGAUACUUCAUUUUUACAUUAAGCAUAAACUCACCCAGAAUGCUUUAGCGGAUUUAUUGAGCAUGCUCAACGCAUUGGCAAAACGAACGCCGUUUCCACAAUCUUUCACAUCGUUUGCAAAACAGUUUCCGGAUCCGUGCAAAAUGGAAAGAAACUAUUUUUGUGUAAAUUGUCAGUUCGGGUGCACUAUGGAAUUUUUCGCUCUUCCCUUAUGAAAAUGGCAACGGAAUGUUUAUAGGUUAUCAUACAUCAAAUAACCAUCCAGUGCUUCAAUUGGCAACUAAGUUUUUUUUAAUAAUAUUGUUCAUCACACGUGUGUACCAAUUAGCUCUCCAAUUUACCAAUGGACAGAGAGAUUAUGGAAUUUACCAGCAAAAUCCAUUCAAUUUGAUCCUUCCUUAAGAGCUUCACUUGAGGAUGAUAUUACUGCUGAUGACACGAUUAGUGAAUCAGAUUCUAACGAUAUAGGAAAAUGUUAUUAUGAAGGAAUUAAGAUAUAUGGGAAAAAAGAAUGUCAAAAAUUUGCAUAUGAUGAUUCCUAUAUAUUUCUCAAUGGUUCUUUCUACAACGUGCUACGCGUUUUUAUUGAUAGAGCAGGACAAUUGUACAUUGUAGGUGAGAAGAUGACUGUUCGGAAACUUUUUGAAAAUAUAUUUCUCUAUGUACUUUCAAAGAAUAUCAUGUUAUUAUAGCUCAAUGAAACAGUUCGACAAUGUGUAAGUGUGACAGUGGAAACUUCAGAAGGAAUUUUAAGAAUCUAUGUAUCUAUUUGCAAGAUUCGAACACAAAUAGACUAAACCCAACAAAAUUUUUGAAAAUGAAAAAAAAAGGUGUUUUAGAAAAAAAAAACAAAACUGGUAGAAAUUGAUUUGGAAUUGGAUGAAAAUAUCUCGUAAAACACAUAUUUCACUUUUAAUCACCUUUAUCACAGAAUUUGAUAUCAUAUCUUAUCAAGAUAUAUUCAUGUUAAUGAUGAUCAAUUAUCAAAACAAAAUCAGAUCAGGUUGUGUUACUUGUAUCUCACGUAGAUAGGACUUUGUUUUAAGUUUGUUAUGCUCUUCUGGUCGGGAAUAUCAGUGAAGUGAGAACGGAAAAAGCGACGUUUCGCUUGUAAUUAUUUCACGACCAUUUUGAACGGUGAAAUGAUUCCACGAAGGUGCCAUAAGUCUUAAAGUUGAUUGAUUUGUGAUCUAAUGAUAAAUAUUGGACUUAUUCUUCAGUAACGAAACGAAUCAGAAUUUGAUCCGUGCCUUAAAGCGGUAAAAUUUUCAUUUUUUUUGCCCGAUGAAAGAAAUGCAAACUAGUUCAGGAAAUUUUCGAUUCCGAAAAAAAAACAUUUUUUUGAUGCCGAAUGUCUUAGAAAUGCAGAACACGUCAAGAUCUGGUGUUAUCUAAAAAACGGAAAAAACGACUUUCUUGCACUUAGAGAUUUUCGAGCUGGGAAACAAUCUCAUUUCACUUGUCCUAUUCUCAAUUUCACUUCACUGUCAAUAUCACUCAACGGAGGUGAUUUUUGUCACCUCACUUGAGGUGGAAUCGGGAAUAGGUCUAAAAAAGUGAAGUUAGCGUGAGAGUGAAAUAUAUUUCACCGUGAAGUGACUCACGUAAUAAGCACCAUUGUUAAAAUCAGUCAUGCCAUCUUUGGCAAAACGAGGGAAUUUAAAAAAGUGUCCUGAACAUGUUCUUUUCAUACACUUCGAACUACAUGUUUAAUCACCAUAAAAUUCGUUAUUUAGGGGUUUUGAAGACAGUCCGUUCAUUUGAAACCAAUUUUGUUCAAAUCGGUUGUGUAGUUUCUGAGAUAAUGGAGUUUCAUAACUUUUACAUUUUGAUACAUAACAGACAA